Molecule: ribosomal RNA, 1032 nt
Filed under: Triticum aestivum (bread wheat)
Lineage: Eukaryota; Viridiplantae; Streptophyta; Magnoliopsida; Poales; Poaceae
Description: partial small subunit ribosomal RNA
Source: RNAcentral
CUACAAGCUGACAACGGACGAGAAUUCGACAGCCAUGCCGCCCGCGCCUUCUUCGAUACCUAUGGCAUCGCGUUUCGCAUGUCUUGCCCUUACACGUCUGCGCAAAACGGGCGUGCCGAGCGCAUGCUCCGCACCCUAAACGAGACUGUUCGUGCCCUGCUCACCCAAGCGUCCAUGCCGCCCACGUUCUGGGCCGAAGCUCUCGCCACGGCCACCUUCCUUCACAAUCGUCGCCCGUGCCGUGUUCACCAGUAUCUUACUCCUUUUGAGCUUUUGUACUGCGCCUCUCCCGAUUACAGUGGCAUCCGCGUCUUCGGAUGCCUCUGCUACCCGAACACCAGCGCCACUACCGCCCAUAAGCUUGUGCCGCGCUCUGUUGCCUGCGUAUUCCUCGGCUACUCGUCGGAGCACAAGAGCUACCGGUGCCUCAACCGCGCCACCGGCCGCGUGCUCAUCUCCCGCCAUGUUUACUUCGACGAGGAACAAUUCCCCUUCGCCUCCAUUGACGCCACACCUCUGCCUACUUCGGUCGUCGAGGACUUCCAGCCUCCGCCCUCGCCUCCGCCUACCGGGACACCAAGUGUGCCCUCCACAUGCCACCAGCAGCCUGCCGCAGCAGCGUCCAUUCCCUGCCGCCACAGCACCCCCGUGCCAAGCGCGCCUACUCCUACACCUCCCUCAGCUCGGCCACCGUCAUCGGCACGUCCUCCCUCCCCCCUUCCUCCUGCACCACGCCAUCCUGCGCCUAUGCCCACGCACACCAUGGUUACGCGCGCACAGCGUGGUACCUUCAAGCCAAACCCAAAAUACGCCCACCUCGCCACUGACGUAUCACCCAUCUCACCCAUCCCAAAAUCCGUAAGGGCUGCACUGCGUGAUUCGUCGUGGCUAACAGCUAUGCAGGAGGAGUACAGGGCACUGAUGAGCAACCGAACGUGGGAGCUAGUUCCGCGGCCGCCCGGCGCGAACAUCGUCAGCGGCAAAUGGUUGUUUCGGCACAAGCUCCGCGCCGACGGCACUCUAGAGCGCUAG